GGCCAGACUCCUACGGGAGGCAGCAGUAAGGGAUAUUGGUCAAUGGGGGAAACCCUGAACCAGCAACGCCGCGUGAGGGAAGACGGUUUUCGGAUUGUAAACCUCUGUCCUCUGUGAAGAUGAUGACGGUAGCAGAGGAGGAAGCUCCGGCUAACUACGUGCCAGCAGCCGCGGUAAUACGUAGGGAGCGAGCGUUGUCCGGAUUUACUGGGUGUAAAGCGCUCGUAGGCGGUAUGUCAAGUCAAGGGUGAAAUCCCCGCGCUCAACGUGGGAACUGCCUUUGAAACUGGCAAACUGGAGUGUGUGAGAGGAUAGUGGAAUUCCAGGUGUAGGAGUGAAAUCCGUAGAUAUCUGGAGGAACAUCAGUGGCGAAGGCGACUAUCUGGCACAUAACUGACGCCGAGGAGCGAAAGCGUGGGUAGCAAACAGGAUUAGAUACCCCCGUAG
RNAcentral lists this ribosomal RNA (447 nucleotides) under uncultured bacterium. Its description in RNAcentral is "partial 16S ribosomal RNA". It matches the Rfam family "Bacterial small subunit ribosomal RNA", at positions 329 to 793 of the family's 1533-position model. The record is from RNAcentral.